UACGUAGGGUCCUAGCGUUGUCCGGAUUUAUUGGGCGUAAAGAGCUCGUAGGCGGUUCGGCAAGUCGGAUGUGAAAUCUCCACGCUUAACGUGGAGGGGCCAUUCGAAACUGCCGUGACUCGAGUCCGGUAGGGGAGUGUGGAAUUCCCGGUGUAGCGGUGAAAUGCGCAGAUAUCAGGAGGAACACCGAUGGCGAAGGCAGGUCUCUGGGCAUUAACUGACGCUGAGGAGCGAAAGCAUGGGGAGCGAACAGG
RNAcentral lists this ribosomal RNA (254 nucleotides) under uncultured bacterium. Its description in RNAcentral is "partial 16S ribosomal RNA". It matches the Rfam family "Bacterial small subunit ribosomal RNA", at positions 524 to 776 of the family's 1533-position model. The record is from RNAcentral.